GAUGAACGCUGGCGGCGUGCCUAAUACAUGCAAGUCGAGCGAACGGACGAGAAGCUUGCUUCUCUGAUGUUAGCGGCGGACGGGUGAGUAACACGUGGAUAACCUACCUAUAAGACUGGGAUAACUUCGGGAAACCGGAGCUAAUACCGGAUGAUAUUUUGAACCGCAUGGUUCAAAAGUGAAAGACGGUCUUGCUGUCACUUAUAGAUGGAUCCGCGCUGCAUUAGCUAGUUGGUAAGGUAACGGCUUACCAAGGCAACGAUGCAUAGCCGACCUGAGAGGGUGAUCGGCCACACUGGAACUGAGACACGGUCCAGACUCCUACGGGAGGCAGCAGUAGGGAAUCUUCCGCAAUGGGAGAAAGCCUGACGGAGCAACGCCGCGUGAGUGAUGAAGGUCUUCGGAUCGUAAAACUCUGUUAUUAGGGAAGAACAUAUGUGUAAGUAACUGUGCACAACUUGACGGUACCUAAUCAGAAAGCCACGGCUAACUACGUG
This 497-nucleotide ribosomal RNA is filed under the name uncultured bacterium. RNAcentral's name for it is "partial 16S ribosomal RNA". It matches the Rfam family "Bacterial small subunit ribosomal RNA", at positions 28 to 507 of the family's 1533-position model. The record is from RNAcentral.